Long non-coding RNA from Mytilus trossulus (common blue mussel), 397 nucleotides. RefSeq lists it as uncharacterized. The transcript has 2 exons. The record is from RefSeq and is a predicted model, not a curated record. NCBI's taxonomy places the organism in Eukaryota, Metazoa, Mollusca, Bivalvia, Mytilida, Mytilidae.
UAUAUAGUUUUUAUGAAGUCUGAUUUAUAAAUAUUUGUACAUAUAAGUAACCUGUUAUUUCGGUAAAUAACUUUAGAUCAUGAACAACAUCUCAGAGUCGAGGUACUUGUAAAAGAAAAAACCAAGGCACAAUGAAUAUAUUUGGUUCAACUAUGAUAUACUGACUACACUGAAGGAACGCAUUGUAUAUUACAUGAAGGAAUCUUAGCGCUCACAGACAGAUUAUUACACCGGUUCUUGUAUAAAAUUGAUUUACAAUAUUCAAACCAAUCGAGUUGAAAUAAACUCAUAAAGGACUGAUACAAGAAUAUGUAGCUUAAUUUGUUAUCACAAUAUUUCAAAUCAAAUGACAUACACUAUUUCAGAAAACAUGUUAUAUUAAAGUUUUACAAUUGUU